UGUGAGGACAAAUGAAAGCAUCAUUAAACGUUCAGGGUCCAGAAACAAACAGUAAAGAUGUGUGUGUGUGUGUGUGUGUGUGUGUGUGUGUGUGUGUGUGUGUGUGUGUGUGUGUGUGUGCCUGUG
Siniperca chuatsi (mandarin fish) is the source of this 126-nucleotide long non-coding RNA. RefSeq lists it as uncharacterized. The transcript is spliced from 3 exons. Lineage: Eukaryota; Metazoa; Chordata; Actinopteri; Centrarchiformes; Sinipercidae. The record is from RefSeq and is a predicted model, not a curated record.